This 253-nucleotide ribosomal RNA is filed under the name uncultured bacterium. RNAcentral describes it as "partial 16S ribosomal RNA". It matches the Rfam family "Bacterial small subunit ribosomal RNA", at positions 524 to 776 of the family's 1533-position model. The record is from RNAcentral.
UACGGAGGGUGCAAGCGUUGUCCGGAUUUAUUGGGUUUAAAGGGUGCGUAGGUGGCGCCGUAAGUCGGGUGUGAAAUUUCGGAGCUUAACUCCGAAACUGCAUUCGAUACUGCGGUGCUUGAGGACUGGAGAGGAGACUGGAAUUCAUGGUGUAGCAGUGAAAUGCGUAGAGAUCAUGAGGAAGACCAGUGGCGAAGGCGGGUCUCUGGACAGUUCCUGACACUGAGGCACGAAGGCCAGGGGAGCAAACGGG